CCUACGGGAUGCAGCAGUGAGGAAUAUUGGUCAAUGGCCGGAAGGCUGAACCAGCCAUGCCGCGUGAAGGUCAGUGCCCUAUGGGCUUUAAACUUCUUUUGUGCGGGAGCAAUAAUGGUCACGUGUGGCCAGACGAGAGUACCGUACGAAUAAGCAUCGGCUACCUCCGUGCCAGCAGCCGCGGUAAUACGGGGGAUGCAAGCGUUAUCCGGAUUUAUUGGGUUGAAAGGGUGCGUAGGCUGUGAGGUAAGUCAGCGGUGAAAUGCCCCGGCUCAACGGGGUGAAGUGCCAUUGAUACUGCCUUGCUGGAAUGCGGAUGCGGUGGGAGGAAUGUGUGGUGUAGCGGUGAAAUGCAUAGAUAUCACACAGAACACCGAUUGCGAAGGCAUCUCACGAAUCCGCGAUUGACGCUGAUGCACGAAAGCGUGGGUAUCAAACAGGAUUAGAUACCCUUGUAGUC
RNAcentral lists this ribosomal RNA (460 nucleotides) under uncultured bacterium. RNAcentral's name for it is "partial 16S ribosomal RNA". It matches the Rfam family "Bacterial small subunit ribosomal RNA", at positions 338 to 795 of the family's 1533-position model. The record is from RNAcentral.